Long non-coding RNA from Nomascus leucogenys (northern white-cheeked gibbon), 330 nucleotides. RefSeq lists it as uncharacterized. Lineage: Eukaryota; Metazoa; Chordata; Mammalia; Primates; Hylobatidae. The record is from RefSeq and is a predicted model, not a curated record. The transcript is spliced from 3 exons.
GUUACGCACAACCAGCGACUGCUCCAGCUCCUGCCUGCGCUGCUGGAUCUUUAGAGGAAGUGAGAACAGGAGCAGGUGUCAGUGUUCCUGUACUCCCUGAGUCUCCCUCUUCACCUUGAGGUCCCGGCUCUGGGAGCGGAGCAGGUCUUGGACAUAGCCUUUGGGGUCUCUGGAGAAGCUUAGCAUGAAGUCCCUCUGGAUCUUGAGCUGGUUUAUGGACUCAAUCGUCUCAUGGAUCUGCAGACUGCUCAUCUGCAACCACACCCUGGUCUCAGAAAAGUCUCCUCUAUCAACUCUGGGUUAAUGUCCCACUCCAGCUCUGGGCUUGGG